RNAcentral lists this long non-coding RNA (1330 nucleotides) under Ricinus communis (castor bean). RNAcentral describes it as "long non-coding RNA (RCOM_LNC002754)". Lineage: Eukaryota; Viridiplantae; Streptophyta; Magnoliopsida; Malpighiales; Euphorbiaceae. The record is from RNAcentral.
AAAUACAAUGAAGAGAUUUCUCCAGAAAAAGAGACAUCCAUAAAAAUUAAUUCACAAGUUCUUCUUUUAAACAUUCUCCAGUAUGUCCCAAAACUAAAAACAUUAACAAGAAUGGAGGUAAAACUGUACAGAAUCAUUUUCUACUGUUUUCUACUUGAUUUGAAAGUUAGGAAAUCAUUUACACUGCUUCUACAACCAUCACCAACUGUAUCACUUUUAUGACCACUACUGCAUUAUGCAACCACUAGUACUAGUAGCAUCUCCAUGUUGUUACCAGCGCUAUCUCUCCUAUAAUGCUACUGCCUUGCAGCACUACCGCCUUGCCAUUACUACCACCACUAUCGGCACCUCAAUUCUCUCACUGGUUGUCUUGAUAGCUUCCAGCAUAAUAUAUUUAUGCUUUGCAACAUUAAUGCUGCUAUUCUGUAAAACUCUGAUGCUUCUAAUUUAAUAAAGCACUAUACAACUAUUCUAAUCAAAACCACCACCAAAUUGCUACCACACCAAUAAAUUUGAUGUAUCAGUGGGGUUGAGACUGACCUAACAUGGAAUCAUUAUGCCAUCUAGGGUUUAUACUGAUGUGUCAGGCUCUUGAUAGCUUCUGUUAGAUGGUCAGUGGACACAGUAUAGACUUAUUUCUCCAGAAGAGCUGGAUGUACUAGUACUGUAUAGAAGUUUCAAAGUGGGACUUAUGGUAUGUCACUUUUAGCUAGCAUGGAGGCACGCAUUAUUGGCUGUGUAACGACUCCGUGCAUGAUGCUAUUGAUAACUUCUGACAUGUAAUAGGUGGACCUUGCCUAUUUGUAUAAGCCUCGGUUGUUUUGAAUUAGUGGAGAUGAAUUUAUACUGUCUUCUACUUGGCAUAGCUGUCAAAAAAACACAGGUACAUAAGAAAAAAGAAUAAACCACAAAGAAAUUAUGAAAAAGCAUAUUGAAUAUCGUGUAAUAUUUACUGACCAAUGUUCUUCUGAGUGUUCUCUCAUCCAUGGGUCCUUAGAAUCUUAGAUUCUUCAAUAAUAGGCUGCUGAUUCAAUCGACACAUAGGUAGCUUGAAGUCAUAGAUAGAUCAAAAACUUUAAUGAUUGUCCAAUGGGGAGGGGAAGAGAACAUAUAGUUACUGCCUAUCUGUCCUGUUCUUAUUGGUCCUUGUUUCACAUACUAGAUCAUAUAUUUUUUUAGUAGCUGUACAUCAAUUUUGAAUGAGCUUAUAGUCAAAUAAAAAGGAGAAAGAAAAAGGAGAAUACCUGACUUUUGUUGUCUUCAGCAGGAUAUGCUGCAUGUGGAUGUAGCUAUGGCAUGGAUCUUCAACUUCUAAGUGUCAAUAUGAUCG